RNAcentral lists this long non-coding RNA (298 nucleotides) under Dasypus novemcinctus (nine-banded armadillo). RNAcentral describes it as "lncRNA (ENSDNOG00000051697.1)". Lineage: Eukaryota; Metazoa; Chordata; Mammalia; Cingulata; Dasypodidae. The record is from RNAcentral.
CGCGGGGCGGCGGCGGCUCCCGGGUGCCGGAGUGACAGCUGGGGCGGGCCGAGCCCGGGAGGCCAGAACUGAAAGGCAGCCGCUCGCCCGAUCCGGGGCUCCCCAGCCGCUGCAGCUGCGCGCCGCCCCUCCAGCCAGAUUCUUUCAAAUUCACUGACAGAUGAAAGAAAUUGGAAAGGUUUUACAACAUACCUUAUCAAGAAAUGAAUUAAGCACGUGAAAAAGUUAAGAGACAUUUCUCAAUAGAACAUCCAAAUUUUCAAACAUCUUUUGGUUACAAUAAGAAUUAAGUGUUAGA